AGGGUUCGAGUCUGGCUCAGGAUGAACGCUAGCUACAGGCUAACACAUGCAAGUCGAGGGGCAGCAUGGAGUUGCUUGCAAACUCUGAUGGCGACCGGCGCACGGGUGAGUAACGCGUAUCCAACCUUCCCCUAUACUAGAGGAUAGCCCGGCGAAAGUCGGAUUAAUACUCUAUGUUGUAUUUAGAGGACAUCUGAAGAAUACCAAAGGUUUACCGGUAUAGGAUGGGGAUGCGUCUGAUUAGGUUGUUGGUGGGGUAACGGCCCACCAAGCCUUCGAUCAGUAGGGUUCUGAGAGGAAGGUCCCCCACAUUGGAACUGAGACACGGUCCAAACUCCUACGGGAGGCAGCAGUGAGGAAUAUUGGUCAAUGGGCGAGAGCCUGGACCAGCCAAGUAGCGUGCAGGACGACGGCCCUAUGGGUUGUAAACUGCUUUUAUGCGGGGAUAAAGUUCACUACGUGUAGUGUUUUGUAGGUACCGCAUGAAUAAGGACCGGCUAAUUCCGUGCCAGCCGCGGC
This 519-nucleotide ribosomal RNA is filed under the name uncultured bacterium. RNAcentral's name for it is "bacterial SSU rRNA". It matches the Rfam family "Bacterial small subunit ribosomal RNA", at positions 8 to 518 of the family's 1533-position model. The record is from RNAcentral.